This 552-nucleotide small RNA is filed under the name Pongo abelii (Sumatran orangutan). Its description in RNAcentral is "retained intron". The record is from RNAcentral. Lineage: Eukaryota; Metazoa; Chordata; Mammalia; Primates; Hominidae.
AAAAGAUGAGGACUGUGUGGAGAUCUACAUCAAGAGAGAAAAAGAUGUGGGCAUGUGGAAUGAUGAGAGGUGCAGCAAGAAGAAGCUUGCCCUAUGCUACACAGCUGCCUGUACCAAUACAUCCUGCAGUGGCCACGGUGAAUGUGUGGAGACCAUCAAUAAUUACACUUGCAAGUGUGACCCUGGCUUCAGUGGACUCAAGUGUGAGCAAAGUAAGUCUGGUUCUCACCUCUUUCUUCAUUUGAGAUGGUAGCACCAUCUCAUGUCCUAGCUGGCACUGGAGUCAGGUCUGCAUGCCUUCCCUUCCCUGGUGCAGAUGGUGUCAUAUGGUGAUCGUGAGCUGAGACUAUGAAAACCCUGCUGGGUUUGAGUCCUAGAUUCACCAGUUAUUUAUUUUGGCACCUUGACAAGAUAGUUUAACUCUCUAUGUCAGUUUUCUCAUUGUAAAAUGAGGAUAAUAAUAGUGUGAACUUCAUAGGCUCAUGGUUACAUGGUGCCUGGCACAUAGGACACAUUCAGUAAACUGUAGUUCUGUGUCCCUGCAGGGAACAU